This 483-nucleotide ribosomal RNA is filed under the name uncultured bacterium. Its description in RNAcentral is "bacterial SSU rRNA". It matches the Rfam family "Bacterial small subunit ribosomal RNA", at positions 8 to 507 of the family's 1533-position model. The record is from RNAcentral.
AGAGUUUGAUCAUGGCUCAGGAUGAACGCUGGCGGCGUGCUUAACACAUGCAAGUCGAACGUGAGAGGUAGCAAUAGUGGUGAAAGUGGCGAACGGGUGAGUAACACGUAGGUAACCUGCCCUGAAGUGGGGGAUAACGACUGGAAACGGUCGCUAAUACCGCAUGAGUCCAUCGAAGCGGGAGUGAGAUGGAGAAAACUGAGGUGCUUCAGGAGGGGUCUGCGUCCGAUUAGCUAGUUGGUGAGGUUAAAAAGGGCUCACCAAGGCGACGAUCGGUAGCUGGUCUGAGAGGACGAUCAGCCACACGGGAACUGAGACACGGUCCCGACUCCUACGGGGGGCAGCAGUGAGGAAUAUUGGGCAAUGGGCGGAAGCCUGACCCAGCAACGCCGCGUGAAGGAUGAAGGCCUUCGGGUUGUAAACUUCUUUUAUGGGGGAAGAGAGAGGACGGUACCCCAGGAAUAAGUCACGGCUAACUACGUG